RNAcentral lists this ribosomal RNA (613 nucleotides) under Pleurotus ostreatus (oyster mushroom). RNAcentral's name for it is "eukaryotic LSU rRNA". The stretch from base 249 to 402 matches the Rfam family "5.8S ribosomal RNA". The record is from RNAcentral. Lineage: Eukaryota; Fungi; Basidiomycota; Agaricomycetes; Agaricales; Pleurotaceae.
CUGCGGAGGACAUUAAUGAAUUCACUAUGGAGUUGUUGCUGGCCUCUAGGGGCAUGUGCACGCUUCACUAGUCUUUCAACCACCUGUGAACUUUUGAUAGAUCUGUGAAGUCGUCUUUCAAGUCGUCAGACUUGGUUUGCUGGGAUUUAAACGUCUCGGUGUGACAACGCAGUCUAUUUACUUAACACACCCCAAAUGUAUGUCUACGAAUGUCAUUUAAUGGGCCUUGUGCCUAUAAACCAUAAUACAACUUUCAACAACGGAUCUCUUGGCUCUCGCAUCGAUGAAGAACGCAGCGAAAUGCGAUAAGUAAUGUGAAUUGCAGAAUUCAGUGAAUCAUCGAAUCUUUGAACGCACCUUGCGCCCCUUGGUAUUCCGAGGGGCAUGCCUGUUUGAGUGUCAUUAAAUUCUCAAACUCACUUUGGUUUUUUCCAAUUGUGAUGUUUGGAUUGUUGGGGGCUGCUGGCCUUGACAGGUCGGCUCCUCUUAAAUGCAUUAGCAGGACUUCUCAUUGCCUCUGCGCAUGAUGUGAUAAUUAUCACUCAUCAAUAGCACGCAUGAAUAGAGUCCAGCUCUCUAAUCGUCCGCAAGGACAAUUUGACAAUUUGACCUC